GAUGAAGAACGCAGCGAAAUGCGAUAAGUAAUGUGAAUUGCAGAAUUCAGUGAAUCAUCGAAUCUUUGAACGCACAUUGCGCCCGCCAGUAUUCUGGCGGGCAUGCCUGUCUGAGCGUCAUUUCAACCCUCAAGCAACUUCUGCUUGGUGUUGGGGAUCGGCCGUUAAACGCCGCCCCCGAAAUCUAUUGGCGAUCUCGCUGUAGCUUCCUAUGCGUAGUAGUAACAUCUCGCAUCCGGAGAGCGGCGCGGUCAUGCCGUAAAACACCCAACUUCUCAGGUUGACCUCAGAUCAGGUAGGAAUACCCGCUGAACUUAAGCAUAUCAAUAAGCGGAGGA
This 338-nucleotide unclassified non-coding RNA is filed under the name soil metagenome. Its description in RNAcentral is "partial contains 5.8S ribosomal RNA, internal transcribed spacer 2, and large subunit ribosomal RNA". The stretch from base 1 to 120 matches the Rfam family "5.8S ribosomal RNA", at positions 35 to 154 of the family's 154-position model. The record is from RNAcentral.